AUGAUGUCAAGCGUGACUGACUCUCAGAUUAGAGAGGAGGCCCAGUGAGGCUGUCUGCUUCAUUUAUUGAGUGACACUUAGUGUGUCCAGAUGCCCUGCACACAGUACGUCCUUCAUAGACAUUGUUAAAUGAACUCCAACCAGAACCACCCCAGGUUGGAAUGCUCGGGUG
Molecule: non-coding RNA, 172 nt
Organism: Equus caballus (horse)
Lineage: Eukaryota; Metazoa; Chordata; Mammalia; Perissodactyla; Equidae
Source: RefSeq, a predicted model, not a curated record